Molecule: non-coding RNA, 72 nt
Organism: Parelaphostrongylus tenuis
Lineage: Eukaryota; Metazoa; Nematoda; Chromadorea; Rhabditida; Metastrongylidae
Source: the annotation of a GenBank genome assembly
GCGUCGGUAGUGCAAUGGUUAGCAUACGCUCUCGGAAAGAGUGAGAUCUGGGUUCGAGUCCAGGCUGACGCG